UCCCAGUUAAAAAGACUAGAGUUAAGGGACGGAGCAGAAGGACUAAUAGACAAGGAACGCAGAGAUUUUGCAGCAGCAAGAGAACUAAUUCUUAGAUUGCUGCUAUUCACUCCUAACCCAGGGACACAGCAAGACUUAUUACCACAAGAUAAUAUGGGGACACUAGCAGUCCCUACAGACUGACAAGCAACACCAUCUUCCUGUAAUACUAGGUUUCCACGCUUGACUGGCCUUCUACCAUCAUCUGC
Molecule: unclassified non-coding RNA, 248 nt
Filed under: Hevea brasiliensis (rubber tree)
Lineage: Eukaryota; Viridiplantae; Streptophyta; Magnoliopsida; Malpighiales; Euphorbiaceae
Source: RNAcentral